CACAACACAACAAAUUAACCAAAAUUAAUUAUUUGGACCCAAGUUUUUGUUUUUUAUUUUUGAAUUUUCUCUAUCUAUUGGGGUCCCUACCACUGAAUUUUGGAUAUAAAUCAUAAACAGUAGUCCAAAUUUUAGUGACGGCCAACCAAAUUUUUAUGAUGUUAAAAAUCCACAGAAUUAUUAUUUGUUUGUUUUCAUUUUCAUCCACAUUUCUCUGUCCUUUGAAAGUAACAUAUAUUAUUAGUUAUGUUUACUGUUAUAUACGUGGAGAAAAGACAACGCAAUUUGGUGGGAGAUUUAAAAUUACCUUGACCUAGGACAUUUAAUUCCUAGUAGUGUGGAGGUGGCGGUGGCGAUGAGUAGUAAUAAACGGGAGGUGGUGGGGAAUGGUAUACUGGUGGUGGUGGAGAAUGAUAGACCGGAGGUGGUGGGAGUGGUAUACUGGUGGUGGUGGAGAGUAGACGGGAGGUGGAUAGUAUACUUUCUUUGGUGGUGGUGGAGAGUAGACGGGAGGAGGGUAGUAUACCUUCUUCGGUGGUGGUGGAGAGUAGACGGGUGGUGGGUAGUAUACCUUCUUCGGUGGUGGUGGAGAGUAGACGGGUGGUGGGUAGUAUACCUUCUUCGGUGGUGGUGGAGAGUAGACGGGUGGUGGGUAGUAUACCUUCUUCGGUGGUGGUGGUGAGUAGACGGGGGGUGGGUAGUAUACCUUCUUCGGUGGUGGUGGUGAGUAGACGGGAGGUGGGUAGUACACCUUCUUCGGUGGUGGUGGUGAGUAGACGGGAGGUGGGUAGUACACCUUCUUCGGUGGUGGUGGUGAGUAGACGGGAGGUGGGUAGUAUACCUUCUUUGGCGGUGGUGGUGAGUAGACUGGUGGUGGGUAGUAUACUUUCUUUGGUGGUGGAGGAGACUUAUAGACGGGUGGUGGAUAGUAUACCUUCUUGGGAGGUGGGGGAGACUUGUAGACUGGAGGUGGGUAGUAUACCUUCUUUGGUGGUGGAGGAGACUUAUAGACGGGAGGAGGGUAGUAUACCUUCUUGGGAGGUGGGGGAGACUUGUAGACGGGAGGUGGGUAGUACACCUUCUUGGGAGGUGGGGGAGACUUGUAGACGGGAGGUGGGUAGUACACCUUCUUGGGAGGCGGGGGAGACUUGUAGACGGGAGGUGGGUAAUACACCUUCUUAGGUGGCGGAGGAGACUUGUAGACGGGAGGUGGGUAAUAAACCUUCUUGGGUGGCGGAGGAGACUUGUAGACAGGAGGUGGGUAAUACACCUUCUUUGGUGGUGGUGGAGAGUAAACUGGUGGUGGAUAGUAAACCUUCUUGGGUGGUGGUGGAGAGUGAUACACUGGAGGUGGAUAGUAUGAUUUCUUGGGUGGUGGAGGAGAAUGGUAUACUGGAGGCGGGUAAUAUACCUUCUUAGGUGGAGGAGGAGAAGCGUAGAUAUAAUUAGCAUUGGUAGUGGACGGCAGAGUUAGGGAAAGGAGAGCAACAAAGGCAGCAAAAAGAAUAGGAGCCAUUGAAGAUCCCAUUUUUCCCAUCCUUGAAUGGAUUGGUGGGUUUUUAACACUGCCUUUCCUCCCCUUUAUAUAGCUUUGUCCUUUUACCCACUUCACUCACUCAAACCCCCCUCUCAAGUCUUAACAUAAUGAUCACCGGUGAAAUCUAAUUUAAUUACUCCACCUAAUUUUUUUUUAAUUAAAAACCAUGAAAAUCAUAUAGACAUGCACACAUAUUAUUGUCGGUAGAUGACAAAGAUAGUUAAAAUAAUAUUAUGUGUUGUCAUCAUGUUUGGACUAAUUUUAUAUAACCUUCCACCAAGGAUUUUACCUUUUCAAUAUAUACAUAUAUGUGUGUAUAUCUGACAUUAAAGAUGUGAGAUAUUUUUGUUCAUCAGGGUUGCUUAAGCUGAUAAUAAACACAUAUAUAGUUAAAUUAAUCUUACAUACACCAACAGUGUUACUAGUUAGAUAUGUAAAUAAAUUUAUAUAAUUAAAGUUACUCAAAAUCUCAAAAUGAUGUUAAUAAUUGGUGUAAUAUAAAAAGUAAUUAGCUAGAAAGAGAAAGAAAUAAUUAAAUUGAAAAUAUAAUUUGGUGAAUUAGUGUUGGAAUUAGGAGGAGGGGUUGAUGGGAGUGGGACCCGGCGGCUUGACUUAUUCUUCAUCUAAUUUUUAAGCUUUGAGAAUGGGAGCGAUGGUCCAUUUUGUAGGGUUGCUUUCACUGUUACACAAUUUGCAUGGCCUUGGCGUUUACUCCUACGUUUUUCUGUGGGCGACCACUGGGGUUCCUAUUCAAAUACUUCCUAUCUAUACUUUUUCUUUUUUCUUUUUGUUCUUUUCAUUUUCCUUUUUUCUUCUUUUUGAAUCACUUCUCUUCUCAAAUUCCUUUCCUUUUGUAAUGUAUACUACGUGAAUGAGACCAUAAUUCAACCAGACAAAUAAGUUCUUAGUCUGAAUAUGUAAAAAGCAUCUAUAUCUUAUUCUAUUUAAUCUACGUGCUAUCGUUUACACAAUUUAUAACUUACAUAUACUAUGCAUUAACCACUUGAACAUGUAUGUGUCAAAAUUAUAUUUUUUUGUUAAAUUGUGUUAGAAAUAUUUAAAUAAUAAUUUGAGAACUUGAAUAUAGACUAUAAAUUACAAAUUUAGUUUUUUGGAUUUUAAAACAUAUAUAAUGAGUCUUUUUAAUCAUGCUACAAAACAAUUCGUUAUAUUAUGUUUCUUAAGAAUUUACUAAUAUAUUAUAAACAAAAUUUAAAGUUACUAAUAUAAGACAUUGUUAAUCUUUUCAAUACAAAUUAAAACUUAGUAACAUAUUCUAACUUUAAUCUAAGAAAUAUGAUGGAACAUUUUUAAAAAUAACAAAAUGAACAAUUUUUUUCUUUUACAAAAUAUAAUAAAACUCAAAUCUACCGGAAAUUAUUAGUAUUUAUAAGUUAUAUGGAUAGAAAUAAUGUAAAUUUAUAUUUUAUAAAUAUUUUUGUUAUUUAUAAUAAAUUUUUAAACAUAAUUGAUAUAUUUUUCUAAAAUAAAUUCGUGAAUGAAAGAAAUAGAAUGUAAUUAGAUUUUAAGAGGGUCUAGAUUCAUUUACAUACCCAAAGGUGAAUUAUUGAGGUUGGAGUCAUUCUACACUUUCAAAAUGUUUAAUUUAAAAAAUAAAUUAUUUGGAAGAAAAUUAGAUUAUUAUUUGGAAGCUACUAAAAACAGUUUUUUAAAUAUAUUUUAAGCAUUUUUAAAAAUAAAUUUAAACAAACAUAAGUUUCUUACAAAAUAUUUUUUUCUUAUGUUAACCUAAGAGACUAUAAAUCUUUUUGUCUUUAUGGUAGAUUGGUUCUUCCUUUUUGGAAUAAUCUAUUACAAUAAAUGAUUUAAUUUAAUGUUUAAUUUAAUUUGAAUUGAUUAUUUAUGUUCAUAUCAAAUAGAAAAAUAAAACCUAUUUUUCCAAUAUAUGCAUUAAAAACCUCUGAUUUUUUUGUUUGCUUCAUUCCAACUACUCUAAGCUCAACUUUUAUUUCCUCUUCCUACUUUCUCAAUUUAAUUUACCUAUCAACUCCAAUUACAUAAUGGUGCCCACAAAUACUUUUUCUAUUCUUUUUCCCCAAGGAAAUUAAUAAAAUGUUAUGUUGUUAAUUAAUAUAUAUGGAUUCCAUCAAAAUAUGAGUUAUCAAGGUAAGAAUUUGACCGUAAAUUUAUAUAUACAUUUUUUAUUUGUUGUGAUUGUGAUAUCCUCAACCAUAUUUUUGAAAGAAAAAGAUAACAUAUAUUUUCAAAUAUAACGAAAUAAAUCAAAAUAUUUACAAAAUAUAAAAAAAAAAUUAUAUAUCAUUAUAGUUGAUAUUGAUAGACAUGGAUAUAAAUUGUCUAUUAGGUGUUUAUCAUUAAUGUAAUAUAAAAUUUUGGAGAUAAUUUUAAUAGUUUUAUCCUAGUCCAAAAUUAAUUCCCAAUUGAGGCAUCACAAAAUGGAAAUUUUCUUCCUAAUAAGUCUACACUUACAUUUAAUAAGGUUGAUAGACAAGUUGAUCUGAUUAGGUGACAUUCAUAUACAUAUAUAUGAUCUAGACUAUAUAUUAAUAUUAAUGAGGGUAAUUUUAUUAGCCACUUAUUAUUAUAAAUCAAAACUCUUAAAUAAAAAAGAAAUUAAAAAUGAAAGAAAAAAAACGAAAAAUUAUUAGUUUAAUUUUCGAAAAUCAAAUCUCAAUGGUGAAAGUGGAAUGAACGUCUCAGCAUACAGUGUGCAAAUUAAUUUGCGAAUGAAUGUUGCUUUUUAUGAUCAAGUCUUGAUUCAAUUUACUUGGAUCAAUAGCUUUAUUCAAAUUUUUGAAUUUUUUUUUCGAUAGACUAUAAGUUAUAACAUUAGAGUGAGAACAGAUUCAAACCUACAAUAUGCUCAAAUUAAAAUUAAAAUUGUAUCAUUGGAAAAUAUCUAUUUUUAAAAGCAUUUCAUGUUUUUUCUUUCCUUUCCUUUGGAUUGUGUAAGUCAUAUAUAGUUUAUUGUGUAAGCAAUACUUUUAUACACUUUUCUUUCAUAAUUGAAACGACAAUGAUGUAAUGAUAUAUGUUGUAUUAGGACAACAAAUUUUUUAAAUAUUUCUACCGUGUAUAGUAUGAUAUUGUCCACUUUAUGUAUACAUCUUAAUAGCAAAUUUGUAACCAUUUAUUUUUUAUAUGUCAUACAUUAGUAUUUUAGUUUUGAUGGUGAAAUAUUUUAUCAAAAUGAAAUAUAGAUAUUAAUCACUUAACUAUAUACUCAUUGAUAUUUAAUUGAUUUUCACUCAAUUUUAGUUACAGAAGCAGGAAGCUUUGUUUAGGACUUAAAUCAUUACCACUUUUAAACUACAAAGGAUCGUUAUAAUACUACACAUUAAAGAUUAAACUAAAUUUAUACAAAUUGGUAAGUAUAGAAACUAAAUUAUCUACAUCCUUACAAUUUAAGAUCAAAACAGUUAUUUAAAUAAUAUUAUUACAUAACCUAACAAUAAUUGUUAGGGUUAAUGGUUAGAUCAUAAAAGAAAAUUGUAUGUGAAGAUACUAACCAAAUUAUGAUCCAGGCCUAUAAAUAUAGAUGAAAUUUCAAACUUCCAACAUUUUUUUCUAGAGUUUCUGUAUUUUUUUCUAGUUAAACUAUAAUCAAGGUUACAUAUGAGCCAUCAACUAUAUAUAUAUAAGAGAAUAGAUUAAUUAAUUAAAUUUUUGUGGGGAGUGUACGUAUGCACGUAAGAAUCAUAUGGUAUUUUGACAUUGAAUAUUUUUGUGUUGGGUGUGAGUUGUUUAAAGUGGGAGUAGGUGAGAAAUAGUUCAGAUACGUAAGUAAAAGAUAUGUUGGGUUUGGGUUAGGAAAAGUUGUUAGCUAAUCAAAUCAUUUUUAGCCAUUCAUAUGUGUUCAAUAUUAUUGGAGGAUUCUAUAACAGUGUGCUAGAAAUCAAACACAAUAGAAACUAUAACAAUCUUAUCUUAUCGGAGUUAGCUAGAUAUAAUACGAUUUGUUGUAUGAUAAACGAACUUACAAUAUAUUUUUAAAUCGAUGUAUGUAUGAGAAACGCAAUAUAUUAAAACAAUUUUUCUUUGUUUAAUUAUAACUUUUGUCAAAUGGAAAGUUAGGGUUUAGGACAUACUGCCCACAAUAUGCCUAAGCUCUAAAUUUUAAAAAUCACAAUGUGAGAUGUAAGACAAUUCAAUCGAAUAUUUAAAAGAUUAGUAAAAGCAAAUAAACGAUAUAUUUACGAUAACUCAAUUUAUUUAACAUUUUUUUUAUAGGUUUUCGAAUUCAAUUCAACUUUUCACUUAGAAAACGAACAUUCUAAAUUCACAAAUAACUCAACUAGUAAAUAUAGAUAAUAUAUUUAGUAGAUAUUUUAAAAAUUGUGAAAUGAUAAAACGAAGACGAUGAAACUACAAAUAUAAAUAUCAAAAUAAUAAUAUUAUCGUGAUAAAAGCAGUACAAACUACAAAUGAAUAAGCUUAUUUAUUCAUUUGUUUGAACUUAUUGAUUUAUUUACUAUCACACUUUUUCAUAUCUAAAAUGAAUAAGUAUUAUAAGAUACACCUGUUUAUAUAAUCUCCAUCUGUCCAUAAAAAUUAAAAUAAAAUGAACAUUUUAAUCUGAUUUAUGUGCGAUAGAGAGAUAAACGACACAUGGAUGGAUACAUGUACAUGAACACAAGUGUUCUUUGGGAGGAAUAUUAAUGCACAAUUGGUUUAUCUAUCCCAUUCUCGGAUGUUUCGGUCAAACCCUGUGACUUGGCGCCUAGUUGGACGGAUUUCCGCUUUUAAAAAACCAAAAACAAUGCUAUUUGGUUUAAUUUAAUCAAACUAUUAUUCGCCUACGCUUUUUUUUUUUUUUCAUCUCUCUACUUAGCUAUCAACUUCAUUUUAAAAGUGGAGGGCGAAAAUGCCAAACUUUAUAAAUUUGUUUUAAACGAAAAUUGCUAAAAAAAUUAAAUAUAUCGUGAUAAAUUUUACUAUAUUAGUAGAUAUUUUAGUUUAUAAUUAUAAUAUUACAUUUAAAAAUGAAUUCUUUAAAUUUUGUGGAAAAAUAUAAUAUAAUUUUAAUCUAUUAAAUUGCAGGAAGAUUGAAAAAUAAAUUGUUAGUCUAGUAUUAUCCAAAUUGAAAAACUUAAUUGAAAAAUUUUGAAAAAUUUAGAGAUUAGAGAUAUAUAUAACAUUCAAAAUAUAUAAAUAAAGGUAUGUAAUUUAAUAUAAAACAUAUAUGAAGACAGAGAAAUGCAUGAAAAAGCAAUCAUAUCACAACUCACAAAAUUAAAAAGACACAAACCAAAAGAGAAAAAAAUCUUUUAAAAGGAAAAUUUAAAUGAAGAAAUGAAGAUUGGAAUGUGCACUAACAAUUAAACUUCUUGAUCGGAUUGGAAUAUGGAAGAUAAAAAAAAUAAUAUGCAUACGAUAUUGUUGUGAUUAACUCUCAAUUAAUUAAUAUAUAUCACAGGAACCUGUUAGUCAAUGAAAUCCAAAUUGUUUUCUGACCCUCAAUAUGAACGUAUGACAUUUUGGCCCUUAAGUUAUAAUAUAUAAUGAGCAAUAGUUAAUUUAUUAAAAAAUAAAACCAAUAAUAAAAAAAAGAUAAUAGCGUAGAAAGUUGAAAAAAAAUAAUGAUAAAAGGAGUUGUUAAUUAAUGAAUUUGUCAAAUGUGUAUCACAUUUAAUAUUUUAAAAAAUUGACAUGUUUGGUCACCAUAUAUUUGAUUCUUGAGGACAUGUACUAUAUUAUUUUUUUAGAAGCAAUAAUUCUAUAUAAAAAUUGUAUUAAAUGAAAAAAUGGUUAAGAAUAUUUUAAAAUAUAGUAAAAAAUUUAUUAGUGAAUGAUAAUAUAUAGCCGUAAAUAUUUAAAAAUGAAUAUAUGUUAAUGUAAGAAUUGGUAUUAUCUUUGCUACCAAAAUUGUAUUGUUUGAAAAUAGCUGUCAAAUUUAUUGUUUACUACUUGUUCAAUCUCUUAUCCAAAAUUAGGUCCAAUGGUGACUCAGGGUCAAAUUGGCCAAUAAAUGUAAUAUAUUCUUUUUCUUUUUUAUAAAGGCGAUAAUAUUAUUAAUUAAUAUGAGGUAGAUACAAAUAUAAUUAAAUUUAGUGUGAGAUCAUUAUGAGAUGGAUCAUUGCUCACACAACUGGGUUUGAAGUUUUAAUUACUUCUUCUCCCACUUAUAUUAAUUUAAUUUUGUAUAUUCAAUCUUCUUUUAGUUAUUUAAAAAGUGGAAGUAGUGAGAUGAAAUUCUCUAAACAUCACCUUCGAAAAUAGCCAUUAAGAUGAAAUAGCAAACAAAUAUUGUUUAAAAAUAUGAAGUUAUCGAAAAUGAUAUAUAUAAAAAUAUUUGGAACUUUGCAAUAAUAGGUUUUUUCGUAUUAAUGUGAGCAUAACUCUCAAAUGUGUACAUUUCAAAUAUUAUCAAUUGUAUCUCAAGAUUUAUGGUUAGACUUCUUAGCAACUAUUACCCAUAUAUAUUUGUUUUGAAAGAAAUAUUCGAACUUACAACAUUUAUUUUUCAAGUUCAAGUUGAUGUAUGUUAUUUAAAUGAAACUAAAACUUUUAGGUUUUUAACCAAUCUUUCAAUCUAUGGUUUUCAAGUUUUCUAAUGAUAGAUUUAUACUUUAGUUUAACUUUUGAAAAUAUGAAUAGAAAGUAAAUCUGUUAUAUAUAAAAGUAGUAAAUUAGGUGUACACUAACUAUGUUUCAAAAAGAGAAAAAAAGAAAAAAUUAAAAGAGGGUUUAUUAACUUUAAUUUUCAAAAAUUAAAAGAAAAUCAAAUACUUAAUAAAUAAAAAUAAGAUGGUUUUCAAAUGAACAAAAUGAAUCAAACUCUAACAAAAUUUCAAAAUUUAUAAACUUUUAGAAUAUUUCUAUCAGAUAAAUUAUAAAUCAUCUAAAAGUUCAGUUUCCUAUUAAUUAAACAAGACAUUAGAUCUAAUUAAGUUAGGCAGAUAUUAAAAUAAAGUUUGGGCACCGAAUAAAAUAUCCACCAAAGUUGUUUCCAAAAUCAUCAUUAAAAUAAAUUUUACUGGAUCUGCCUAACUUAAUAUUAAAAGAAAGAUUCAAGAUGUGAUAAAAAAUGAAAUUAAACUAUUUGUUAAAAACCAUUUCCCUUUUGACUUUAUUUUAGAUCUCAUCAUUUAUCCAGCUUUGAUUUUUUUAUUUUUUCAAUUUUUAUGUGAGAAAGACACUCAAUAAUUGUUUUCAAAUACAAACAAAUUACAAACUAAAUAACUCCAAGUUGUGGAGGCUGCCAAGACUUUCAUGGGAGGUGUCAAAUAUAUAUGUGAUUGAAUUUGAAAAUUAUUUAAAAUAAAAAAUUGUUAUGGAUAGUAGAAAAGAAUUAUAACUACAAAGUAUAGUCUUUAAUUUGAUAAUUUUUUCGCAAUAUUUAAAAAUGUAGUCAUUCUUCUUAUCUUAUGUCAUAUUGAAAUAUUAUUCAGGUAAAAAACAACAUUCUCUAUUUUCUUAAAUGAAUAAUUUGUUAGGUAUUAGAAAUACUUUUUAAUUGGAUAUACCAAGGAAACACUAUUCUCCACUUAGCGAUACAUAGCAAUGUUGAUGUCAAAAUUUCGUCAACAAAUAUUGGUGUGACCUUAGUUUGGCAACAAUGGUGAAUUUGUAAUUUUGGGAUAAGUUGAUCUGCAAAAAUCCGAAUAAGGUUGGGCACACUGAUGUGGUGUAAACUACACUGGUUUCGGUACUUAGUAAGUUUACAAGAAAAUCUGUAAUGAAAGUAUAAUCAAAUGCACAUAAGACAACGUACCUUCUUUGUGCUUCCAUCAUCCUUCUAUUUAUAAGGUCCUAUCUUUUCUUUUCACAGUAGGUUUUCUUCAAUCGUCAUCCAUGUUAGCUUUCGAGAUCUGGACCCUCCUUGACCCAAAGUUGAGCCUUCCAUUAUAGGUGUCGGUUAAUUUCCUGUAAUGACCCAAAUUUUUAAUAACCAAGCUGGAGUCAUUACUAAUCUAAUUAUCUUUAACUUUCUAAAAACAAUAACGGAAGCAUAAACCAAGUAGUUCCUAUAUGGCUAGUCACAGGUUCUUCUUCUUGUCGCUCGUUAGCUUGCCUUUCCUCUUACCUUUGUCUGAAAAGUUAAACAUGAAAAUGGUGAGUAUAAAUAUAGUACACACAGUAAGGGAUUCACUACUGGUCUUGCUAGGUAAACCGAUAACUUCCUAUUAGGAGGUACCCUGAGUCGUCAUAUCAGUCUAGUGAUCUCGUAGGAACACAAAUCAGGCAUCAAGUGAACCUAAACGUACACUUAACAGUCAAUCAGUCAUCAAUAUCAGUCUAAAGGUAGUGAUCUCGAGGGACUUCGUACAUGUGCAGAGUACACUAGCCUAAGAACUAAAGGUAACAACUA
RNAcentral lists this long non-coding RNA (9830 nucleotides) under Cucumis sativus (cucumber). RNAcentral describes it as "long non-coding RNA (CSAT_LNC002210)". The record is from RNAcentral. Lineage: Eukaryota; Viridiplantae; Streptophyta; Magnoliopsida; Cucurbitales; Cucurbitaceae.